UUUCCGUAGGUGAACCUGCGGAAGGAUCAUUAAUGAGUUGUCAUGGGGUUCGAUGCUGGCAGCCAGUUUUUGGAUGCUUGUGCUUGCCCUAACAAUCAUCUUCUUCCAAACACCUGUGCACAUUUUUGAGGGAGUCUUGAGUUGGUUGCCGCUCUUGGGUGAUUUUCUCACAUUCCCUUAAAUCAUUAUACGCUAUUAACAAUGUUGAACGUGCUCUGUGCCGCAAGGCCAUUAAUAUAAUACAACUUUUAACAACGGAUCUCUUGGCUCUC
RNAcentral lists this unclassified non-coding RNA (272 nucleotides) under plant metagenome. RNAcentral's name for it is "partial contains small subunit ribosomal RNA, internal transcribed spacer 1, and 5.8S ribosomal RNA". The record is from RNAcentral.